GUCUGAUGGAGCGACGCCGCGUGUGGGAUGAAGGUCUUUGGAUUGUAAACCACUGUCACGCGUUAUGAAUGCGCAGCAGUUAAUACCUUCUGCGUUGACAAAGGCGCGAGAGGAAGUCACGGCUAACUCUGUGCCAGCAGCCGCGGUAAUACAGAGGUGGCAAGCGUUGCUCGGUAUCACUGGGCUUAAAGGGCGCGUAGGCGGUGCGGUACGGUUUCGGUGAAAUCCCUCGGCCCAACCGAGGAACAGCCGGGGCUACGGCCGCGCUAGACGGCAUCAGGGGACAGUGGAACUCCCGGUGGAGCGGUGAAAUGCGUAGAUAUCGGGAGGGACGCCGGUGGCGAAAGCGACUGUCUGGGGUGCCUGUGACGCUGAGGCGCGAAAGCCAGGGGAUCAAACGGGAUUAGAUACCCCGGUAGUCCUGGCCCUAAACGAUGCGCACUAGGUAGCGGGGGAUUCCGAUUUCCCGCUGCCGGAGUAAAAAUCUUAAGUGCGCCGCCUGGGGAGUACGGCCGCAAGGUUAAAACUCAAAGGAAUUGACGGGGGC
Molecule: ribosomal RNA, 547 nt
Filed under: uncultured Planctomycetota bacterium
Lineage: Bacteria; Pseudomonadati; Planctomycetota
Description: bacterial SSU rRNA
Rfam family: Bacterial small subunit ribosomal RNA
Source: RNAcentral